This 800-nucleotide ribosomal RNA is filed under the name uncultured Pseudomonas sp. RNAcentral describes it as "bacterial SSU rRNA". It matches the Rfam family "Bacterial small subunit ribosomal RNA", at positions 9 to 802 of the family's 1533-position model. The record is from RNAcentral. Lineage: Bacteria; Pseudomonadati; Pseudomonadota; Gammaproteobacteria; Pseudomonadales; Pseudomonadaceae.
GAGUUUGAUCCUGGCUCAGAUUGAACGCUGGCGGCAGGCCUAACACAUGCAAGUCGAGCGGCAGCACGGGUACUUGUACCUGGUGGCGAGCGGCGGACGGGUGAGUAAUGCCUAGGAAUCUGCCUGGUAGUGGGGGAUAACGCUCGGAAACGGACGCUAAUACCGCAUACGUCCUACGGGAGAAAGCAGGGGACCUUCGGGCCUUGCGCUAUCAGAUGAGCCUAGGUCGGAUUAGCUAGUUGGUGAGGUAAUGGCUCACCAAGGCGACGAUCCGUAACUGGUCUGAGAGGAUGAUCAGUCACACUGGAACUGAGACACGGUCCAGACUCCUACGGGAGGCAGCAGUGGGGAAUAUUGGACAAUGGGCGAAAGCCUGAUCCAGCCAUGCCGCGUGUGUGAAGAAGGUCUUCGGAUUGUAAAGCACUUUAAGUUGGGAGGAAGGGCAGUUACCUAAUACGUAAUUGUUUUGACGUUACCGACAGAAUAAGCACCGGCUAACUCUGUGCCAGCAGCCGCGGUAAUACAGAGGGUGCAAGCGUUAAUCGGAAUUACUGGGCGUAAAGCGCGCGUAGGUGGUUCGUUAAGUUGGAUGUGAAAUCCCCGGGCUCAACCUGGGAACUGCAUUCAAAACUGACGAGCUAGAGUAUGGUAGAGGGUGGUGGAAUUUCCUGUGUAGCGGUGAAAUGCGUAGAUAUAGGAAGGAACACCAGUGGCGAAGGCGACCACCUGGACUGAUACUGACACUGAGGUGCGAAGGCGUGGGGAGCAAACAGGAUUAGAUACCCUGGUAGUCCACGCCG